This 71-nucleotide transfer RNA is filed under the name Candidatus Uabimicrobium amorphum. RNAcentral describes it as "Uabimicrobium amorphum tRNA". It matches the Rfam family "tRNA". Rfam says of the family: Transfer RNA (tRNA) molecules are approximately 80 nucleotides in length. The record is from Rfam by way of RNAcentral. Lineage: Bacteria; Pseudomonadati; Planctomycetota; Candidatus Uabimicrobiia; Candidatus Uabimicrobiales; Candidatus Uabimicrobiaceae.
GGGAGGUUAACUCAGUGGCAGAGUAUGGGAUUGAAAAUCCCGUUGCGGUGGUUCGAUUCCACCACUUCCCA